RNAcentral lists this ribosomal RNA (253 nucleotides) under uncultured bacterium. RNAcentral describes it as "partial 16S ribosomal RNA". It matches the Rfam family "Bacterial small subunit ribosomal RNA", at positions 524 to 776 of the family's 1533-position model. The record is from RNAcentral.
UACGAGGGGGGCAAGCGUUGUUCGGAAUUAUUGGGCGUAAAGGGUGCGUAGGCAGUUUGGUAAGUCUGAUGUGAAAUCUAUGGGCUCAACUCAUAGUCUGCAUCGGAAACUGCCGGGCUUGAGUGUGGGAGAGGUGAGUGGAAUUCCUGGUGUAGCGGUGAAAUGCGCAGAUAUCAGGAAGAACACCCGUGGCUAAGGCGGCUCUCUAGUACGGUACUGACGCUGAGACGCGAAAGCGUGGGGAGCGAACAGG